Molecule: ribosomal RNA, 1028 nt
Filed under: Amolops daiyunensis (Daiyun torrent frog)
Lineage: Eukaryota; Metazoa; Chordata; Amphibia; Anura; Ranidae
Description: partial 16S ribosomal RNA
Rfam family: Bacterial large subunit ribosomal RNA
Source: RNAcentral
UAGCUCUACCUUAGUUUACCCAUAACAUCAAAUUAUAUAUAAGACUUAAGAGCUAUUCAAAUAAGGCACAGCUUAUUUGAAACAGAACACAACCUCCAAUACUGGGUUAAUAUAGGUUAUUAUAACCAAGUGGGCCUAAAAGCAGCCACCUUAUAGAAAGCGUUAAAGCUCAACUAUACAUUUACCUAAAUUUCAAAAUCUAUCUUCAACCCUUAAUUACUACUGAACUAUUUUAUAUUCUUAUAAAAAAAAUUAUGCUAGAACUAGUAACAAGAAUUAGCCCUUCUCCAAAAUGUAAGCUUAAGCCAAAAUGGACAUCCCAUCGGCAAUUAACGCAAAUGUAAUUAUUAUAGCAACAUAUACUAGCAAACCCUAUAACUACUAGCGUCGACCUAACACCAGAACAUUUCAGGAAAGAUUAAAAGAGAAAGAAGGAACUCGGCAAAUCUCAGCCCCGCCUGUUUACCAAAAACAUCGCCUCUUGCUUAAACAUAAGAGGUCCAGCCUGCCCAGUGAUAUAAUUCAACGGCCGCGGUACCCUAACCGUGCGAAGGUAGCAUAAUCACUUGUUCUUUAAAUAAGGACUUGUAUCAACGGCAUCACGAGGACUGUACUGUCUCCUUUCUCCAAUCAGUGAAACUGAUCUCCCCGUGAAGAAGCGGGGAUUAACCUAUAAGACGAGAAGACCCCAUGGAGCUUAAAGCCCACACAACUCUAUGCACUUAAAUCAAUACAGCCCAAGAAACCUGCAAACGGCUUUAGGUUGGGGGGACCGCGGAGUAAAAACUAACCUCCACGACAAACGGGCCUACGCCCUUAUCCAAGAAUGACAAUUCUAAGAAUCAAUAAACUGAUGUUUAAUGACCCGAUUAUUCGAUCAACGAACCAAGUUACCCUGGGGAUAACAGCGCAAUCUACUUCAAGAGCCCCUAUCAACAAGUAGGUUUACGACCUCGAUGUUGGAUCAGGGUAUCCUAGUGGUGCAGCCGCUACUAAAGGUUCGUUUGUUCAACGAUUAAAACCCUACG